AUGGGCCCCCAUCCGCACUCCUGGGCACAGCAUCCCAGUCUCCCAGGCCUGGCACCUGCUUCCCACUCUGCUGUUGCUCCUCGCCGGGCCCCUCGCCUGUGCUCAUGCUCACCAGCACCACGGCCCUGCUGGAAGCCCCUCCUUCUUGUUGGCUCCCGUCUGCUCUUCCUCCAGGUCUCAGACCCUUGGAGCCUUCCUUGCGCCAUCUCUCCUCCCCUGAGCUCCACUCGGCCUGCAGCCUGGACCUGGAGCUCUUUUCCUGCCGGCGUUGGUUUUCGUUGUGCCAUUCAAUCAGCUCUUAUAGAAAAGACCCCCGACUCGCUUCUCACACCUGCAGAUCUGCCUGCAUUUCCUCCCAUCCCUCUCACCGUGAGCGCGGACAGCGUCGCCUGCAUUCCUUCCUUUUGCCCUGCAUCAUGGCCCUCUGUUCUUUUAAAUCCCAGUUUCUCAGAUAGGACACCAGACGUUCCAGAGGCUGAUGCCCCUGCCCAGCGGCGCAUGGAAACAGAAGAGCCGUGCAGGGGCCUCAUGCUCCUGCAUCCGGGCUCACAGGGCAGAACCCCUUCUGUGAGGCUGAUCCUCCAGCCCCACCCUCUCUCCCCGAGUCAGUCCCUCAACCACACCCUGGCAUACAGAACAGUCUGGCCUUUGGGCGUACCCUGCGCCUCUGCCUCCCAGCCCGGCGGCCAGACACGGGCUCCCCUGAGAGGCAGCUCAUUCACCGGGACCUCCACGGGGACAGGGCUCCGAAUGAGCGUAAUGAGUAACACUGGAGAAUUCUCCUGGGCUUUGAGGCUUAUUGGUGGCUGUGGCCUUCAGGAGGCAAUUAAAAGGUGCAAUAAAAAAGUGAAAUGCUCCUAUUGUAACAGUCCUGACUCUCACGCUGCAGGGAAGAGCUGUGCCAUCCCAGUGCCUCCUAAGCUCAGGCUCAGGGCUAGAACUUUUCCAAGGAAAGACUUGCUUCCUUGGCAAAAGUAUCAGUCACAGCUGGAACAGAGCCACAGGUGCUAA
This 1011-nucleotide long non-coding RNA is filed under the name Sus scrofa (pig). RNAcentral describes it as "lncRNA (ENSSSCG00070017455.1)". The record is from RNAcentral. Lineage: Eukaryota; Metazoa; Chordata; Mammalia; Artiodactyla; Suidae.